Molecule: transfer RNA, 91 nt
Filed under: Alphaproteobacteria bacterium
Lineage: Bacteria; Pseudomonadati; Pseudomonadota; Alphaproteobacteria
Also listed under: 1 other name
Description: tRNA-Ser
Rfam family: tRNA
About the family: Transfer RNA (tRNA) molecules are approximately 80 nucleotides in length. Their secondary structure includes four short double-helical elements and three loops (D, anti-codon, and T loops).
Source: RNAcentral
GGAGAGAUGGCAGAGUGGUCGAAUGCGGCAGACUCGAAAUCUGUUAUAGAGCUUGUCUCUAUCUGGGGUUCGAAUCCCCAUCUCUCCGCCA